RNAcentral lists this ribosomal RNA (305 nucleotides) under uncultured bacterium. Its description in RNAcentral is "bacterial SSU rRNA". It matches the Rfam family "Bacterial small subunit ribosomal RNA", at positions 334 to 637 of the family's 1533-position model. The record is from RNAcentral.
UUUUCCUACGGGGGGCAGCAGUGAGGAAUAUUGGUCAAUGGUCGGGAGACUGAACCAGCCAAGCCGCGUGAGGGAUGAAGGUACAGAGUAUCGUAAACCUCUUUUGUCAGGGAACAAAGGCGGGGACGUGUCCCCGGAUGAGUGUACCUGAAGAAAAAGCAUCGGCUAACUCCGUGCCAGCAGCCGCGGUAAUACGGAGGAUGCGAGCGUUAUCCGGAUUUAUUGGGUUUAAAGGGUGCGCAGGCGGUCUGUUAAGUCAGCCGUCAAACGCCGGGGCUCAACCCCGGCCCGCCCGUGCAACUGGG